Molecule: long non-coding RNA, 1185 nt
Organism: Lycium ferocissimum
Lineage: Eukaryota; Viridiplantae; Streptophyta; Magnoliopsida; Solanales; Solanaceae
Exons: 2
Source: RefSeq, a predicted model, not a curated record
CAAAGCCUAAACAUAUAAUACUCCCUCUCAAAAUAUCAGACCCCUAAGGGGGGUCAUUACCCUCUCAAGCGGCUAGGGUUCUCAUCUAACCCUAGCGCCGCCUCACCCUUCUCCCUUUCUCCUGCUGUCCCAUCACCGGUUUUAAGGUGGCGCAGGCGUGUGAGGCGCGGUAAUGGCUGGGAAGUCCUUUUUCACAUCUUUCUUUGAUUAAAUCCUCCAAACACACCACUAAGGUACAAUCCUUGUACAUCUUGCUAUUUUUUUUAUUUAUUUAUAGCUAUUAAGACGCGAAGCAAGCCGUUGAUUGCUUUUCCUUUUUCGAUCUGGACCGUUUAAUGCUAGACCUGAGAUAGAACUUGUAAAACAUUGAAAGACCCAUAUCGUUUUUCUUCGUUCAGAGGAUAUUUUAGAUGGUUCUGUAAAUAGAACCUCAUGUUUGACACAAAGGGGGGCGAAAAAAAAAGAAAGGCGGAAAACCGAAUAUAACAGCUUCAUAUUGAGUUUUACUCGGGAGAAUAGCUUUUAUCAGUAUAAUUUUAAGUUAAGAGGGUAAAAAAAUCUUUUUUUUUAGUCAAAAGUCUGUACUCUUCUCUGUGUUUUAUUUGUAUUUGUGGCUCGAGUUUGGGAUUUGGAAGCACAAAAGAGGGCUCCAAGUUCAAAUCUUGAUUCAGCUGCUCAUACAAAAGCCUGCGUGGCCCAAUAAGGAAAAUUCUUUCCUCGAAGAUAUUGAGUCCGCGAAGACGACGUAAAUAGCUUGGCCCGCAGAAGGCCCAACCAUGGGUGAAAAUAUAUAUAUAUAUAUAUAUAUAUAUAUAUAUUUGUAUAGUUAUGAAUGUGAUAAGUUCGGUAAAUAUAACUAACCGGUUUCCCUUUUUUUUUCCCCCCUCACCACAUGACCACUCGGGUCAGGUCAGCCUGCCUGGCCCAAUAAGAAAAAUUCUUUCCUCGAAGAUAUUGAGUCCGCGAAGACGACGUAAAUAGCGUGGCCCGCAGAAGGCCCAACCAUGGGUGAAAAUGGCUGGCUAGGGGCUUGGUACGCCCCUAGUCUUUAUGUUAUUUGCUUAUUGUCUUUUUUCCAUUUUUUGAGUCUUCAUGUAUUUGUAAACUUGUAAAAACUCAUGUCAUAGGACAACGGUACUUAUGCCGUUUAGAUUGACUCUAAGUCCCUAAAACCGAUUUUCAAAA